Molecule: ribosomal RNA, 254 nt
Filed under: uncultured bacterium
Lineage: Bacteria
Description: partial 16S ribosomal RNA
Rfam family: Bacterial small subunit ribosomal RNA
Source: RNAcentral
UACGUAGGUGGCAAGCGUUUGUCCGGAAUUAUUGGGCGUAAAGCGCGCGCAGGCGGUCCCUUAAGUCUGAUGUGAAAGCCCACGGCUCAACCGUGGAGGGUCAUUGGAAACUGGGGGACUUGAGUACAGAAGAGGAAAGCGGAAUUCCACGUGUAGCGGUGAAAUGCGUAGAGAUGUGGAGGAACACCAGUGGCGAAGGCGGCUUUCUGGUCUGUAACUGACGCUGAGGCGCGAAAGCUAGGGGAGCAAACAGG